UGAGAUUGAACACCUGGUGCAGGGGUGCGGCCGUGCGGAAGUCUUUUUUUUGUCUCACCUUCCUGAUCUAUUUUCUCAUCAUUACCCCUCUAAAUUGUCCUCAGAUAUGUCCUUUUUUUGCGGGUAAUUUUUCUCAGAUACGGAGUAUGUCCGUUUUGAUUAUUACCUUUACCUCUCUGUGUGAUAUUGUUCGUCUGAUUAUUUUGUUUCAACCAUGGUAUACAUCAUCAUUUCCAGGAUAUUAGAUGUGAUGCCUGAGAGAAGAGGCUCUUAGGAAUAGCAAAGCUGGAGAUGGUUAAUUCGUUUUUGUGUUUUAGAUGAUCCUAUUUGACAUAAAUUUACCAUAAUUUUGACUAAAAGGACGAGAAGAGGAGGGAGGUAGCAGUGUGCGUACCGGUAGAGGAGGUGGCAGGAAAUAGUGCCGCUGAUGAUGGCAUGCUGAGGGGCGACGAGAUGGAGGCGGCCUUCGGCAUGGCAGCACAUCAAGAUGCGACGCCCGGUCAUAUCCGUUUGUUGUUCUGUCCGCUGAGAUGCUCACAUGCGGGAGAUGUGUCCUACCAAGAACCCGGUAGGGCUAGGCUGCUCUGAUGGUACUGGUCUCCUCUUUACCCUUUGCAUUGCCUGUUGUUACUGAUUCAGCUAUCCUACUUUCAUUUAUUUCUGUGACAAAUCAGGCUGGAAAUUGUGUGGGUGGGCAUUCAGUAACUUCCACAGCUAUUCAGAACUAAAUUCUUGGAUGUUAACCCAUGGUUUUUCUCUGGUUAUUUACGCCCAUCAUGAAAUCAGUACCAGCGAGCUCCGUACAUCUAUAUCCUUUUUUUCAGCCAGAGCCCCUUGCCAUGUCUUUCCACGGGAGCAUUAUCAGAUCCACAUUUACAGCUAAUGGUAAGGUUCUACAUACCGAAGUAACUAUACCAUCUACUGGAUCAAGCCAAGACAGAAUUCAUUAGAGAUAAUGUUAUGGUUAAGAAUCCGAUCAUCUUUCUUCCCAAGGUUCUCCACUACUAUGCAAAGGCCAAAUGAUGUUGAAUUAGAGUUGCCUGAUCUGAUUGACAUGGUAUGCAAGAGCAUGCCUCAUGCCCAACAAAAAGAAAUGAGGAAACAUCUCUGGAGGACGAUACAUAGCUUGACUUGAGAAGUGUAUAUCUCAGAUGAGCAAGGCAAAACUAUAAAAGUUGUAGUGAUUUGGAUAAGGUCCGAAGCUAUAGUUCCUACAGAAGCUCAGCUUUAUGGUAUCGUCUCAAGGAUAAUUUCUAGGAGAGGGAUGAAGACCCUUGCGCACGAUGAAAAUGGAGAACCAACUUUACAGACAGGAAACAUGAAUGUACAAAGAGGUCCUCGAUUAUGUCUGGACGAUAUAUGUCAAUAUAUGUACAUCUUCAUUGCUUAGUUUGGAAAAUUCCACUACUAUGUACAGAGCAUAAGCUAACUACUCGGUUUUAAUUGUAGAAUCAGAACUAUGUUCAAGGGCUCAACCCGAAGCUGAUGCAACUUAUGGUUACAGAUUUUCGGUGCUCAAACGAUCAAUGAGAAAUAGACCCCUUGCAAACAUAAUGGACUUAGGCUAGACAGAAGUACCAUAUACAGUGUUCUCUUUUCUGUACUUUUUAGCUACUCUCUGUAUUCUUUGUUGUUGUACAUGGCAAAGAACAAGUAUAUCAGGAGUCUCUUUUUA
This is a long non-coding RNA of Lolium perenne, 1675 nucleotides long. RefSeq lists it as uncharacterized. The record is from RefSeq and is a predicted model, not a curated record. NCBI's taxonomy places the organism in Eukaryota, Viridiplantae, Streptophyta, Magnoliopsida, Poales, Poaceae.